RNAcentral lists this ribosomal RNA (546 nucleotides) under Salmonella enterica subsp. enterica serovar Derby. RNAcentral's name for it is "bacterial SSU rRNA". It matches the Rfam family "Bacterial small subunit ribosomal RNA", at positions 997 to 1533 of the family's 1533-position model. Lineage: Bacteria; Pseudomonadati; Pseudomonadota; Gammaproteobacteria; Enterobacterales; Enterobacteriaceae. The record is from RNAcentral.
UUUCCAGAGAUGGACUGGUGCCUUCGGGAACUGUGAGACAGGUGCUGCAUGGCUGUCGUCAGCUCGUGUUGUGAAAUGUUGGGUUAAGUCCCGCAACGAGCGCAACCCUUAUCCUUUGUUGCCAGCGAUUAGGCCGGGAACUCAAAGGAGACUGCCAGUGAUAAACUGGAGGAAGGUGGGGAUGACGUCAAGUCAUCAUGGCCCUUACGACCAGGGCUACACACGUGCUACAAUGGCGCAUACAAAGAGAAGCGACCUCGCGAGAGCAAGCGGACCUCAUAAAGUGCGUCGUAGUCCGGAUUGGAGUCUGCAACUCGACUCCAUGAAGUCGGAAUCGCUAGUAAUCGUGGAUCAGAAUGCCACGGUGAAUACGUUCCCGGGCCUUGUACACACCGCCCGUCACACCAUGGGAGUGGGUUGCAAAAGAAGUAGGUAGCUUAACCUUCGGGAGGGCGCUUACCACUUUGUGAUUCAUGACUGGGGUGAAGUCGUAACAAGGUAACCGUAGGGGAACCUGCGGUUGGAUCACCUCCUUACCUUAAAGAA